Molecule: ribosomal RNA, 1156 nt
Filed under: Scytonema sp. UIC 10036
Lineage: Bacteria; Bacillati; Cyanobacteriota; Cyanophyceae; Nostocales; Scytonemataceae
Description: bacterial SSU rRNA
Rfam family: Bacterial small subunit ribosomal RNA
Source: RNAcentral
AUGAGCUCGCGUCCGAUUAGUUAGUUGGUGUGGUAAGAGCGCACCAAGACGGCGAUCGGUAGCUGGUCUGAGAGGACGAUCAGCCACACUGGAACUGAGAAACGGUCCAGACUCCUACGGGAGGCAGCAGUGGGGAAUUUUCCGCAAUGGGCGAAAGCCUGACGGAGCAAUACCGCGUGAGGGAGGAAGGCUCUUGGGUUGUAAACCUCUUUUCUCAAGGAAUAAAAAAAUGAAGGUACUUGAGGAAUCAGCAUCGGCUAACUCCGUGCCAGCAGCCGCGGUAAUACGGAGGAUGCAAGCGUUAUCCGGAAUGAUUGGGCGUAAAGGGUCCGCAGGUGGUCACUCAAGUCGGCUGUCAAAGAGUCUGGCUCAACUAGAUAAGGGCAGUGGAAACUGAGAGACUGGAGUCUGGUAGGGGUAGAGGGAAUUCCCGGUGUAGCGGUGAAAUGCGUAGAGAUCGGGAAGAACACCGGUGGCGAAAGCGCUCUGCUGGACCAGAACUGACACUGAGGGACGAAAGCUAGGGGAGCGAAUGGGAUUAGAUACCCCAGUAGUCCUAGCCGUAAACGAUGGAUACUAGGCGUUACGCGUAUCGACCCGCGUAGUGCCGGAGCCAACGCGUUAAGUAUCCCGCCUGGGGAGUACGCACGCAAGUGUGAAACUCAAAGGAAUUGACGGGGGCCCGCACAAGCGGUGGAGUAUGUGGUUUAAUUCGAUGCAACGCGAAGAACCUUACCAGGGCUUGACAUGUCGCGAAUCUCUCUGAAAGGAGAGAGUGCCUUCGGGAGCGCGAACACAGGUGGUGCAUGGCUGUCGUCAGCUCGUGUCGUGAGAUGUUGGGUUAAGUCCCGCAACGAGCGCAACCCUCGUACUUAGUUGCCAUCAUUAAGUUGGGAACUCUAAGAAGACUGCCGGUGACAAACCGGAGGAAGGUGGGGAUGACGUCAAGUCAGCAUGCCCCUUACGUCCUGGGCUACACACGUACUACAAUGCUGUGGACAGAGGGCAGCAAGCUAGUGAUAGCAAGCAAAUCUCAUAAACCAUGGCUCAGUUCAGAUCGAAGCUUGCAACUCAGCUUCGUGAAGGUGGAAUCGCUAGUAAUUGCAGGUCAGCAUACUGCAGUGAAUUCGUUCCCGGGCCUUGUACACACCGCCCG